CAGCCGCCGCGGUAAUACAGAGGGUGCAAGCGUUAAUCGGAUUUACUGGGCGUAAAGGGCGCGUAGGUGGUUAUUUAAGUGAGAUGUGAAAGCCCCGGGCUUAACCUGGGAACUGCAUCUUAUACUGGGUAACUGGAGUGCAGUAGAGGGUAGUGGAAUUUCCGGUGUAGCGGUGAAAUGCGUAGAUAUCGGAAGGAACACCAGUGGCGAAGGCGGCUACCUGGACUGAGACUGACACUGAGACGCGAGAGCGUGGAGAGCAAACAGGAUUAGAUACCCGUGUAGUCCCUGUCUCUUAUAC
This 301-nucleotide ribosomal RNA is filed under the name uncultured bacterium. Its description in RNAcentral is "partial 16S ribosomal RNA". It matches the Rfam family "Bacterial small subunit ribosomal RNA", at positions 509 to 807 of the family's 1533-position model. The record is from RNAcentral.